UACGUAGGGUGCGAGCGUUGUCCGGAAUUACUGGGCGUAAAGAGCUCGUAGGUGGUUUGUCGCGUUGUCCGUUAAAUUCCCUGGCUUAACUGGGGGCGUGCGGGCGAUACGGGCAGACUGGAGUACUGCAGGGGAGACUGGAAUUCCUGGUGUAGCGGUGGAAUGCGCAGAUAUCAGGAGGAACACCGGUGGCGAAGGCGGGUCUCUGGGCAGUAACUGACGCUGAGGAGCGAAAGCGUGGGGAGCGAACAGG
RNAcentral lists this ribosomal RNA (253 nucleotides) under uncultured bacterium. Its description in RNAcentral is "partial 16S ribosomal RNA". It matches the Rfam family "Bacterial small subunit ribosomal RNA", at positions 524 to 776 of the family's 1533-position model. The record is from RNAcentral.